RNAcentral lists this long non-coding RNA (1643 nucleotides) under Mus musculus (house mouse). Its description in RNAcentral is "predicted gene 11166 (Gm11166)". Lineage: Eukaryota; Metazoa; Chordata; Mammalia; Rodentia; Muridae. The record is from RNAcentral.
AUGGAUGGUCUGCAGAGUUUGGGUGAUGUGACUGCAGAGAUUUUUGGACUGCCACUAGAGGGACAUUCUGUAACAGGAAAGCAAGCCUUUGAGGACAGAAGAUGAAACCCAAGGGGCCCCCUUGAAGCCACUGGUGUUCCGAGUGGAUGAGAGCACCCCUGGGCUCGUACAGAGUGUCCUCCUGGAGCGUGGGUGGGACAAGUUUGAUGAGCAACGUCAGGAUGUGGAGGACUGGAAUCUAUACUGGAGGUCGUCCUCCUUCCGGAGGGCGGAAUAUGUCAAUGUCAAACCCUGGCAGAGGCUCAACCAUCACCCAGGGAUGACCAAUCUCACCAGGAAGGACUGCCUGGCCAAACACCUGGCGCGCAUGAGAAGUCGCUAUGGUGAGUCUCUCUAUGAGUUCACACCCCUGACAUUCAUCAUGCCCACUGACUAUACCAAGUUUCUGGCCAAGUACUUCAAGGAAAAGCAGGAUUUGGGUACCAAGCCAAGCUACUGGAUCUGCAAGCCAGCAGAGCUGUCUCAAGGGAGGGGGAUAAUCAUUUUCAGUGACAUCCGAGACCUCAUGUUCAAGGGCACGUAUGUAGUACAGAAGUACAUCUGUAACCCCUUACUCGUGGGUAGGUACAAAUGCGACCUCCGCAUCUAUGUCUGCAUCACUGGCUUUAAGCCUUUGACCAUUUACAUGUACCAGGAAGGGUUAGUGCGGUUUGCCACGGAGAAGUUUGAUCUCAGGAAUUUGGAAGACUAUUAUUCCCAUUUGACCAACAGCAGCAUCAACAAAUUGGGGGCCUCAUAUCAGAAGAUCAAAGAGGUGGUGGGUCAAGGCUGCAAGUGGACCCUCAGCAGGUUCUUCUCUUACCUCCGCAACUGGGAUGUGGAUGACCUGUUACUGAGGCAGAAGAUCAGCCACAUGGUGAUUCUCACAGUCCUGGCCAUGGCUCCCUCAGUCCCCGUCGCCUACAACUGCUUCGAGCUUUUUGGAUUUGACAUCCUUAUUGAUGACAACCUGAAACCGUGGCUUUUGGAAGUCAACUACAACCCUGCUUUGACCUUGGACUGUUCCACGGAUGAGUCGGUCAAGAGAAGCCUUGUCCAUGAUGUUAUUGAGCUAUUAUACUUAAACGGCCUCAGAAGUGAGGAGAAAAAGUGUGGGAGAACUUCUCCAGGAAACUCCGUGGUCUCCCUUGCCAGGAGCCAUCAGCAUGAGUUUUGUGCGACCCCCAAUUCCUCUUCCUAUGCGUCUCUCAUAGAGUUUACGAUGGGCAGUAAAAGCGACCCAGCUGUCCAGAACAUCUGUCCCAAGCACACUCGAACCUCCCAGUUGAGAGAAAUGAUGAGCAGGCGGGACAGACUUCUGACAAAAGAGGCAGCCAAAAGCAAGCCAAGGCACAAGGCUUGGCACUUGCCUCGCAAGAUGGUCUUCCCGUAUGCGUCUCAGUCACAGCCUCACAAGAUGAAGGGGCCUGCGGGCGACCUCCCGGAAGCUGGAAGCACACCAAACGACCACGCCGGCAACUUUGUCCUCAUCUUCCCGUUCAACAAGGCUACUUUCGGAGCCUCCAGGAAUGGGUUAAAUGUCAAAAGAAUCAUUCAAGAGCUCCAGAAGCUAAUGAAUAAAUAACUCUUUAAGUGAUAAAAGC